Molecule: ribosomal RNA, 506 nt
Filed under: uncultured bacterium
Lineage: Bacteria
Description: bacterial SSU rRNA
Rfam family: Bacterial small subunit ribosomal RNA
Source: RNAcentral
UAGAGUUUGAUCCUGGCUCAGCCUGAACGCUGGCGGCGUGGCUAAGACAUGCAAGUCGAACGGAUGCAGCAAUGCAUCAGUGGCGAACGGGUGAGUAAUGUAUCGCUAACGUACCCUCCAGUCAGGGAUAGCCGGGGGAAACUCCGGGUAAUACCUGAUCAGACCACCAUCCCCGCAUGGGGAAGCGCUCAAAGGAGCAAUCCGCUGGAGGAGCGGGCGAUAUCGUAUCAGCUAGUUGGUGCGGGUAACGGCCCACCAAGGCGACGACGCGUAGCCGGGCUGAGAGGUCGGCCGGCCACAUUGGGACUGAGACACUGCCCAGACUCCUACGGGGGGCUGCAGUAACGAAUCUUCCGCAAUGCACGCAAGUGUGACGGAGCGACGCCGCGUGUGGGACGAAGCCCUUCGGGGUGUAAACCACUGUCAGGGGUUACCAAGUUCUGAGGAGCCCCAGAGGAAGGCACGGCUAACUCUGUGCCAGCAGCCGCGGUAAUGCCCAAUCGCCC